RNAcentral lists this long non-coding RNA (3268 nucleotides) under Homo sapiens (human). Its description in RNAcentral is "non-protein coding lnc-GCSH-1:2". Lineage: Eukaryota; Metazoa; Chordata; Mammalia; Primates; Hominidae. The record is from RNAcentral.
GCUCCCGCGAUGGAGGGAUGUGCGGGCGGGCUAGGAUUCCGUGGUUAAGCCUGUGGCCUCUGGAGCCGCGAGUUUGAAUCCUGGUUGCAGCUGUUCCACUUACUAGCUCUGUGGCCAUGGGUAAGGUGCCCAUCCUCAGUUUCUCCGUCUGCAAAAUGAAAGCGAAUUCUUAGUGUUGUUGUGGACUCAUGAGAUGAUGCAUGGAAGCAAGGGCGAAGUCGCUGUAGCUUUCUUUAUUUAUGAGAGAAAAGGAGCUGCCCAGGUGAGAGGACAAAAACCCGAGAAAACAGACCCGGAAAAGAUGGUUUUGGUUGCGGGCUAGGAAGGAGAUGUAGCAGAUGAAGCUGGAGAAGUCCGAAGGAGGCCUUAAAUUUUGCAGGGCCUCCUUGGUGUGGGAAGGAGUUUGGUUUCUGCAGUGGUGAAGAACCAUGGAAGUACCGUAUUUAGCAGGGGAUUUUGUGCAGGUCACUCAGCUCCUGCGUGGAGAAUAAGGCGGGGAUGGAUGUGCUAAAGGCAGAUCGAUGCUUAGGUAUUGCAGGACUAGAGAGAAGGGAAUGGGCACCUGGAUGAAAGGGUGAUGCGGGGGCGGGGGUAGACAAUAGUGGAUUGUUUUAAAAGAAAUUGUGAGGGAGAGGGAGUUAAGGAUAAAUAUUCUGUUUGAGUAACUGCAUGCAUGUUUGCACCUUUCAGGGAGAGCUAGGAAAUGCUGAAGGGGUGGGCAGUAGAGAGGCAGAUGUUUAGAUUCAGACAGGCUCCCAACCCAGUGAAGAUCAAAGCUGUGAUAGAAAGGAUCGCUGGGUCAGCUCAGCUGGCAGGCCAAGCCCCACGGUAUCUGAAGUUUCCCUGGAGGUUGCUCAGGGCACAUGGGAGUGUGGAAUGUAGCAACCAUUUUGUGCAAACGUUAGGGACUCCAUAAGCCUCUAAAAAAUUAGCAAUUGUAUGAGGACUCCGGACCAGAAGAAUGUGGCUAGCAUUCCAGGCAAGACAGGAUGGAAUUUUCACUGUCCUUCAACCAACUGAAAGGCUCCAAUAAAGUCUUGGGUAUUUACCCUGAACCAGCCAAGGCUUUGGAGUCACUGGCAGGAAUCCGAGUAUCUAACUGUUUUCAGGGCAGAAUAGAUGGGGAGGGUACGGCUGUGGAAGACACAUGCAUUUCCACUUUCUUCUGUAAAUGCAGCUCAGUGUUCCCGGAUGCAAUGAUAAAGAUGUCUAGGAUUUGCUUCAAAACAAAACAAAGGGAUGGGGAAGCAGAUGGGAGUGUAGAUGAGUCAAAAGUGGCCGCAAGUUACUAAUUGUUAAAGCCACGUAAUGGGGAUGUGGAGAUUCGUUGUACUGUCUCUAUAUUGUUGUGGAUGUUUAAUGGGGAUGUGGAGAUUCAUUGUACUGUUUCUAUAUUUUUGUGGAUGUUGAAAAAUAUUUUCUUCUUUCUUUUUUUUUUUUGAGAUGGAGUCUCCCUCUAUUGCCCAGGCUGGAGUGCAGUUGUGCAAUCUCUGUUCACUGCAACCUCCGCCUCCCGGGUUCAAGUGGUUCUCCUGCCUCAGCCUCCCAAGUAGCUGGGACUACAGGCAUGUGCCACCAUGCCUGGCUAACUUUUGCAUCUUUAGUAGAGAUGGGGUUUUACCAUGUUGGCCAGGCUGGUAUCGAACUCCUGACCUUGUGAUCCGCCCACCUUGGCUUCCCAAAGUACUGGAAUUACAGGCAUAAGCCACCACACCCGGCCGAAAAAUAUAUUUAAAAAGGUAAGAAACACACAAGACAAGCAGCUUGGACUUAUCUUCUCCAUGAUACCUACCCAGUAUCCCUGUGAGCAGCUGACAUUCCUUUCUCCAAGCAGUUGCUGUAUUUUGAACAUUGCUCGAGCAAGAAACUUUUUAUAAUGGGUUUAUUUAUCCAUGUCACCUGCUAUACUAUGUUUAUUGUAGCUCAGCAUGAUUUCCAGGUACCAAGCACAGUACUUGGUGCGUAAUAGUGCUAACUGAAUGUUGGAUGGAUGGAGGGAUUAAAAAAAAGAAAAACACCUGAAUAUCAGACACUUAAUAAAUGUUUCUUGGGAGGCCGAGAUGGGCGGAUCACGAGGUCAGAAGUUCGAGACCAGCCUGGCCAACAUGGUAAAACGCCGUCUCUACUAAAAAUACAAAAAUUAGCUAGGUGUGGUGGCAGGCACCUGUAAUCCCCACUGCUCAGGAGGCUGAGGCAGGAGAAUCACUUGAGCCCGGGAGGCAGAGGUUGCAGUGAGCCGAGAUCACGCCAUUGCACUCCAGCCUGGGUGACAGAGCAAGACUCUGUCUCAAAAAAAAUAAAAAAUAAAAUAAAUAAAUGUUUUCUGAACUGUAUUCUCUAUCUGUUCUUAGUUAAUUUGUGUUUGCCAUUUUUAAAGUCAAAAACCAGGGAGAGUUCUCUACACAAUGUAAAUAUUUGAUAAGUACUUAUUAAUUGCUUAUUGUGCUAGUCUAUUCUUUAAAUAUCAGAGGUUCCAAAACAAAGAGCUCCAAUAGUAGGAUCACAGUCAGGUAACCAAUUAUCCGAGUAGGAAGGUUGCCUUAGUUGAAGUAACUGGAGGUGAAUGGGGAUUUGUCAGGCAGGCUCUUCCAGAUAAAGGUGAACCUUCCCUGUUGUUUUGAUAGAAGGAGGAAAUGGAAUGACCAUCAAGAGAAAGGUAGUUGCUGGCUUGAGAGGAUCAUCUGUGCAACAGGCAGCUAAGCAGAAGAAGACUUUAUAUAUAUUUUUAAUACCACCCACACUGUUGCUAGUAUUCCCCACCACUCCAUUGGCCUGGUGAACUCUUAUUCAUCCUUCAAAACCCAGCUUAACCAUGGCCUUCAGGAAAUCUUGAGCUGGCUUCCCAGGACAGAGUGGGUCAGUCCUCUGCAUGCUCCUGCUGCUGUGCUGUACUCACCAUACUGUACUGUAAUUUACUGGUUUGUAAGUCAUUUCCACUGCUGGGUUGUGAGCUCCUCCAAGGCAGGGGCUUUGCCUUAUCUGCCUAUGUUCCCAGGACUUACACAGUGCCUGAUGUGUAGUAGGUACCCCAUGAAUGUUUUACAUAAUUAGCAGGAGCGUAUCAGGUAAAUUAGCAAAGCAAACUGUGGGAUGUGGGAUGUCAGACAAUAGGAGUAGGUGGGCUUAUGGGAGCUGAAGAGCACAUGCUCCUCAGCUCUGAUUGAUUGCUCUGUGCGAUAGGGGCCCAGUGGUGGUGGAUCUAACAACUUUUUAAGAGAUUCUGACAAUUCAGACUUUACAUGUUGAAUAUUCCGGAUUUUCAACAUUA